Molecule: unclassified non-coding RNA, 141 nt
Filed under: uncultured fungus
Lineage: Eukaryota; Fungi
Description: sequence contains ITS1
Source: RNAcentral
GUUAUAAUUUGUGUUAUACAACAUACAUUACUAGGCGUUAAUAAAAGGGGGCCGGGUUCACAGGUAGUAAGAAGUGAGGGGCGGCAACUCUACGCGAGCACCUUAUCACUAAUGAUCCUUCCGCAGGUUCACCUACGGAAA